This is a long non-coding RNA of Salvia miltiorrhiza (redroot sage), 682 nucleotides long. RefSeq lists it as uncharacterized. Lineage: Eukaryota; Viridiplantae; Streptophyta; Magnoliopsida; Lamiales; Lamiaceae. The transcript has 2 exons. The record is from RefSeq and is a predicted model, not a curated record.
AAAUAGCUGCUUGAUCGUACGCCCUCGCCGCAGCCUCCGCUGUCUCGAACGUCCCCAGCCAUAUUCUCUUCUUCCUGCACACACGAACCCGAAAAACAUCGUUCGUUACCGAGCACAAACCAAAAUGUAGUAAUAUAUAGUGCUCGUUAACGAACAAGUACACGAUCGUGUGUUCGUUAACGAACAAGAGCACUCGAGCGAGGCACGACCCGAAAAGGUAAUAUAUAGUGCUCGUUAACGAACAAGUACACGAUCGUGUGUUUGUUAACGAACAAGUGCACUCGAACGAGGCACAAACAAAAAGGGAUAGUGCUCGUUAACGAACAAGUACAUUAGAAGGGUUGUUGUCAUGUUUUCUUACAAUAGAGGGUGGCGGAUUUCUGACACCCAUGAGCCCCAUUGGCGCUGCCUGACACCUCUGAACUUGUUGGGUUGUACCAUGAUUCUCUCAGGUAGUUACUUCUAUGUAAUAUAUAUAUAGAGAGAGAGAAAGAAGAGAGAGAGAAGGAGAUAAAUAAUGCUACAAUGGGUGAAAAUAAACUGCAAAAGUUGGGUAAGUGAAGUUUGAGGAGAAUAAGGUAGAGGGUGUUUUAAUGAGAGGUGUCGGUGGUGAAGAAGAGUUGUGGGAAGAAAGUGGCAAAACUACUUAGUUUUUUGUGGUUGCAAUAAAGACUUUCACCAA